RNAcentral lists this microRNA (21 nucleotides) under Picea abies (Norway spruce). RNAcentral describes it as "pab-miR11463". Lineage: Eukaryota; Viridiplantae; Streptophyta; Pinopsida; Pinales; Pinaceae. The record is from miRBase by way of RNAcentral.
CUAAUAGCGAGCAUCUGGGCC